RNAcentral lists this transfer RNA (67 nucleotides) under Synapturanus sp. MNHN-RA-2020.0087. RNAcentral describes it as "tRNA-Asp". Lineage: Eukaryota; Metazoa; Chordata; Amphibia; Anura; Microhylidae. The record is from RNAcentral.
AAGAUGUUAGUUAAUCAUAACACUGCCUUGUCAAGACAUAAUUACAGGCUAAACCCUGUACAUCUUC